Molecule: ribosomal RNA, 440 nt
Filed under: uncultured bacterium
Lineage: Bacteria
Description: partial 16S ribosomal RNA
Rfam family: Bacterial small subunit ribosomal RNA
Source: RNAcentral
CCUACGGGUGGCAGCAGUGGGGAAUAUUGCACAAUGGGGGAAACCCUGAAGCAGCGACGCCGCGUGAGGGAAGAAGGAAUUCGUAAUGGAAAGCUCUAUCAGUAGGGGAGAAAAUGAAGGUACCUGAGUAUGAAUCCACGGAUAACUACGUGACAGCUGCCGCAGUAAUACGCAGGGGGCAAGCGUUAUCCGGAUUUAUUGGGUGUAAAGGGAGCGUAGGCGGUAGGUGAAGUGUGGAGGGAAAGGCGGGGGCUCAACCCCCGGACUGGCGGUGAAACUGUACGGCUGGAGUGUAGGUGAGGUAAGUGGAAUUCCUGGUGUAGCGGUGAAAUGCGUAGAUAUUAUGCGGAACACCAGUGGCGAAGGCAGCUUACUGAACUAUAACUGACGUUGAGGCACGAAAGCGUGGGGAGCAAACAGGAUUAGAUACCCCUGUAGUC